UACGUAGGUGGCAAGCGUUGUCCGGAUUUACUGGGUGUAAAGGGCGUGUAGCCGGGCUGACAAGUCAGAUGUGAAAUUCCGGGGCUCAACCCCGGACCUGCAUUUGAAACUGUUGGUCUUGAGUAUCGGAGAGGCAGGCGGAAUUCCUAGUGUAGCGGUGAAAUGCGUAGAUAUUAGGAGGAACACCAGUGGCGAAGGCGGCCUGAUGGACGACAACUGACGGUGAGGCGCGAAAGCGUGGGGAGCAAACAGG
This 253-nucleotide ribosomal RNA is filed under the name uncultured bacterium. RNAcentral describes it as "partial 16S ribosomal RNA". It matches the Rfam family "Bacterial small subunit ribosomal RNA", at positions 524 to 776 of the family's 1533-position model. The record is from RNAcentral.